RNAcentral lists this ribosomal RNA (638 nucleotides) under uncultured bacterium. RNAcentral describes it as "bacterial SSU rRNA". It matches the Rfam family "Bacterial small subunit ribosomal RNA", at positions 12 to 689 of the family's 1533-position model. The record is from RNAcentral.
UUUGAUCAUGGCUCAGAACGAACGCUGGCGGCAGGCCUAACACAUGCAAGUCGUACGAGAAGGUUMCUUCGGGAACUGGAGAGUGGCGCACGGGUGAGUAACGCGUGGGGACCUACCUCUUAGUGGGGGAUAACGGUUGGAAACGACCGCUAAUACCGCAUACGCCUUCGGGGGAAAGAUUUAUCGCUAAGAGAUGGACCCGCGUUGGAUUAGAUAGUUGGUGAGGUAAUGGCUCACCAAGUCGGCGAUCCAUAGCUGGUUUGAGAGGAUGAUCAGCCACACUGGGACUGAGACACGGCCCAGACUCUACGGGAGGCAGCAGUGGGGAAUAUUGGACAAUGGGGGCAACCCUGAUCCAGCCAUGCCGCGUGAGUGAAGAAGGCUUCGGGUUGUAAAGCUCUUUCAGAUGCGAAGAUGAUGACGGUAACAUCAGAAGAAGCCCCGGCUAAUUUCGUGCCAGCAGCCGCGGUAAUACGAAAGGGGCAAGCGUUGUUCGGAUUUACUGGGCGUAAAGGGCACGCAGGCGGUCUUGCCAGUCAGGGGUGAAAGCCCGGGGCUCAACCCCGGAACUGCCUCUGAUACUGCAAGACUAGAGACUAGGAGAGGGUGGUGGAAUUCCCAGUGUAGAGGUGAAAUUC